CACGGGGGGAGCAAGCGUUGUUCGGAAUCACUGGGCGUAAAGGGCGUGUAGGCGGUUAGGUAAGUGGAAUGUGAAAUCCCUCGGCUCACCCGAGGACCUGCAUCCCAAACUGCCUGACUUGAGUAUGGGAGAGGAUGAGGGAAUUCCUGGUGUAGCGGUGAAAUGCGUAGAUAUCAGGAGGAACACCGGUGGCGAAGGCGCUCAUCUGGCCCAAUACUGACGCUGAGGCGCGAAAGCUAGGGGAGCAAACGGG
RNAcentral lists this ribosomal RNA (253 nucleotides) under uncultured bacterium. RNAcentral's name for it is "partial 16S ribosomal RNA". It matches the Rfam family "Bacterial small subunit ribosomal RNA", at positions 524 to 776 of the family's 1533-position model. The record is from RNAcentral.